UGGGAAAGAAGUAAAGCAGUAGCAGCCGUGGUGGUAUCUGAAGGCAAGUAGCACAGGAUGUGAACUGACAAUGACUACUGCCUAGCCGAAAGUACUGAAGAUCACCCAAUCUGUAUUUAUCAGGAAAUUAGUGAACAUGCUUCGUUAUGGUUUUUUGUUCCUAUAUUUUUUCUGUAAUUCUUGGGUAGAAAAUUGCCACGGUAUCUCAGGGAAAUGGUGACGUGCAUGGUUUCCCCCUCCCACCAGUAACAGCUGAAAACAAUGGACAGAUGAUAUCAAUUAAACUGCUUUUGGCAGCUGACUUUAUUACAGUAACAAGUACUACGUAAGCAGAGCCGAACUACAAGGAUUUUUAUUACCUUCGCCACUGGGAGUUAUGUACGGUGUCUCAGCUCUCAGCGUGGAUGCAAUUUCUAUG
Molecule: long non-coding RNA, 418 nt
Organism: Gekko japonicus
Lineage: Eukaryota; Metazoa; Chordata; Lepidosauria; Squamata; Gekkonidae
Exons: 3
Source: RefSeq, a predicted model, not a curated record